AACAAAUAAACAGAAAAACCCCGCCCCACACUGCUAAGACGAAGUGACCUCUGCCUUCCCCGGGAAUGACCUGUGCCUUCCCCAGCACUGAUCUCCAUGCCUUCGCCGGGAACGACCCGUGCCCUCCCCGGCAAUGACCUCUGCCAUCCCCGAGAGUGGCCUCUGCCUUCCCCGGGAAUGACCUGUGCCCUCUCCAGCAGUGAUCUCCAUGCCUUCCUCGGGAAUGACCAGUGUCCUCCCUGUGGGAAAAAUUCCUCUUUUAAAUUUAGAAAGACGGCAUAAAGUCAUGAAACUAAAGAAUUUAUUCAGCGUACUGGGUCUAGUCUCACACCAAGUUUUUCGGGGAGAAAGACCCUUUGGAUUUAAAUACCACACAUUUUAUAGUUCCACCCUUAUUCAGACAAGUUUAAUAUAUUCAUUUUUGCCUAAAAAGGUUUCUUUUCUCUGAAAAGGGACAUUCCCUUUCUUCUGAUUGGCUGCAAGGUGUCCUCUGUCAAAAACAAUGGAUCUUCCUUUGUUCUUAGCCCAAAGAGAGAGAAGAAACCCCUGUGUACAAAACUUCCACAUGGCCUUGAAUGAUUUUAAUUUUUAAGAACUUUUAUAUUUCUCUUAUCCAGACGAAAAAGACCCUGACACCCAGUUCCGUUUGGAACUUGGAUAUCUUGCAACUUCACGAUGCACCUAUGUAUAUAAAAAUUGUAUUUUAUCUCUCAUAUCCCCAGGUCCCACAGACAGUAUUUCACACACGCUCCCCCCUUCCGGCCCCAAAAUCAGCACUGCUGAAGCUGUUAUUUGUUUUAAAUAAAACAAAAUUCUCACAAA
Pseudopipra pipra is the source of this 822-nucleotide long non-coding RNA. RefSeq lists it as uncharacterized. The transcript is spliced from 2 exons. The record is from RefSeq and is a predicted model, not a curated record. Lineage: Eukaryota; Metazoa; Chordata; Aves; Passeriformes; Pipridae.